AUGGGAGGAGAAUUCGACACCCGGGAGAUGGAGUGCGUGCUGAUCGUCGGGCUUUGGUGUGCUCAGCUCGAUCUGAAGCUGAGACCGUCUAUCAGUCAUGCUCUCAAUGUGCUGCGGUUUGAGGCGCCCCUGCCUCCCCUCCCCUCAAGGAUGCCGGCUGCAAGCUACAUGCCACCGGUCAGUGGUACAGAGAGCUGCAGAUCUGAGUAA
Molecule: ribosomal RNA, 210 nt
Filed under: Triticum aestivum (bread wheat)
Lineage: Eukaryota; Viridiplantae; Streptophyta; Magnoliopsida; Poales; Poaceae
Description: partial small subunit ribosomal RNA
Source: RNAcentral